Molecule: long non-coding RNA, 697 nt
Filed under: Chrysolophus pictus (golden pheasant)
Lineage: Eukaryota; Metazoa; Chordata; Aves; Galliformes; Phasianidae
Description: lncRNA (ENSCPIG00010009274.1)
Source: RNAcentral
CAAAUCACCUUUUUUUAUUUAGAUCAGGAGGAUUUCCUAGGACUAUAUAAAGCGGUCUUUAAGACUAAAUGUGAAGAUCCUUGGAUUAUGUCACCAAGAAUUUCUCUGCUUUCUUUGAAAGAAUUCACUGUUUGUGUGCACCUCAAGCUAAAUUCCUCCAAUAGUCCCUGGACAGCGUAUGUAUACAAUCAAGAGACAACUAACAGCAAUACCUCUGCAAAUAAGCAUGACCUUGGACUUAGCGGAGAUCGUGGUAACUUGAGGAUCUGGUUGUUUGGAAAUCAGAUAAAUACAACAGAGAUGAUGCUUCAAGAAAACAUCUGGCACCAAAUAUGUACCCAGUGGAAAAGUGAAGAUGAGGAAGUGAAGUUAUUCAUAAAUGGAAAAAAAAGACUAAAUGAAAAACUAAAUAGAAAAAUGUCUCUCCCUGAAAAAGGGCAGUUCUUACUUGGCUGCUCAAAACUGCCAGGUGCAGCUACAUCGCCUAAUCAGGGUAUGACUGGGGAGCUGUACAUGUUCAGAAUGUGGGAUAAAGCAAAUAUAAAUCUUGCUAAGCACUGCAGAGAUGGUAGUAUUGUACGCUGGAGAAAGGAGGAUUGGAUGUUUAAUAAGACAGUAGAAGAGGACGACUCUUUGCCGUGUGUUACAGAAGAAACUACCAGACCUGCAGAAGCAUCAAUUGCAACAGCCACUUCUG